UGAGGAAUUUUGCGCAAUGGGGGAAACCCUGACGCAGCGACGCCGCGUGGAGGACGAAGGCCUUCGGGUCGUAAACUCCUGUCAGAGGUGAAGAAUGCCCGCAAGGGCUUGACGGUAACCUCAGAGGAAGCCCCGGCUAACUACGUGCCAGCAGCCGCGGUAAUACGUAGGGGGCAAACGUUACUCGGAAUUACUGGGCGUAAAGGGUGCGUAGGCGGCUGGGAAAGUCAAGGAUGAAAUCCCGUGGCUCAACUGCGGAACGGUCCUUGAAACUACUCGGCUUGAGGAUAACCGAAGAGAACGGAAUUCCCGGUGGAGCGGUGAAAUGCGUAGAUAUCGGGAGGAACACCUGAGGCGAAAGCGGUUCUCUAGACUACUCCUGACGCUGAGGCACGAAAGCUAGGGGAGCAAACGG
Molecule: ribosomal RNA, 415 nt
Filed under: uncultured bacterium
Lineage: Bacteria
Description: bacterial SSU rRNA
Rfam family: Bacterial small subunit ribosomal RNA
Source: RNAcentral